UUUUCAGCAGAGUGAUUACCCAAACUCUUGUUGUACUUCAUGGAAGCACCAGAGCUUUUCAUGUGAAACUGUAGUUUGUUUUCGUCUUUUUUUUUCUUUUUUUUUUUUCUCUUCUGUAACCUCAGUUUUUCUGUAACCUCAGUCUUGGAAAUAGCUGAAUCCCUUGAGCAAAAGCUUCCCAAAAAAGAUCCCAUUAGUCAGACAGCUAACAUCAGGAAUGCUUAGCCUGAAUUGUUCAAAGUUAUCCUGAAGCAGAGUAUUACAAUGGAAAAUGUUAAGUAGCCUCCGCAUAAAUGCGGCUACUUGUGCUGCCAUUAAUAACCUUGGCCUUGUAGAGAAUGUUCUUGUGCUGGCUAAAUUAGAUUAACCAGUAAAUUUUCUCCAUCUUUAAUGUCUAUCAGAUUUAAGACUUCUGGGCUUAAGCCUAUUGCCACUAAAGCUGAUGGUAAAACUCUGCUGGAUUCUGUGUGAACGCCGACUUUUCAGGAAUGAUGUCAGAAUUUCGCACUGCUGAAAUUGGAUUUUAGGUGUGUACUGUGCUCCAUGGAGAGUGUAUCCCACAGCUCCUUGUGAAACUUUGCUGAACAUUGAUCCUACCUGGCCCAACAUUAGGAAUUCACCUGAUGGGGAAGCACUGCCAGGAGCCACCUCCUAGACCAGAUCCUGCAAAGCUGGUGCCACUGGGGUUGUGGCUGCUGUGCCACCCAGCUUGCUGGUUGCUGUCCACAGCAAACCUUUUGAUGGGGUCACACAAGCUUCCACCACCUGCAAAGGGCUCUGGUGGAUCACUGGCCCAUGGUGACAUUCAUCUCAACUGCCUCCUGCUGCCUGUGCUGGACACAAUCAUCUGGGCGGCUCAGAGAAUGUGUGGUGGUUGGGGGACCAAUGUCAGCACCUACUUUUGGAUGAGAUGUUUGUGCUCUGAGCCCCACUGUUAUGUAUAGACAAGUCCAUAUCUUCAUCCAUGUGUACUACUCUGAAUUUCUACUUGGAAAUGUGUGACCCUGCACAUAAGGAGUGUCCUUGCUGAGCGUUGCCACCCUCAGCUGUGUGCCACCAGCAGGUGCUGUGCAUGUGUGCUGAUACCUGCCCUGAAAACCAAGUCUCCGCUGAUAAUCAGCCUUCAAAGUGCAGCGUGCACCCGUCCUGGGGAGAGCUUCAUGUUGCUUACAUGGAGUGUAUCACGUUGCCGGCUUUCUCGAUGUUUUUGAAUAGCUACAAAUAUUUUCUAUCGAGUUUUAUUAAGUGAGACCCACAUACUUCUUCCAGCUGUGACCGCGCGGUCUGUUUCUACAUAGCUGCUCACCCCGCCCUUGCUCAGCAACACUUCACAGUCAUGCUGUGGUGCAGAUGAAGAAUUUGGGUUUGAAGCUGGCAAUCUGAUUCCCAUUAAAGCUCUAUGGAAAUUUGCCACACACCUGCCUAGAAAGCUGGAAUAAAUAAUUCAGUGCUGCUCACUGGAUACCUAAUGGCAAGCAGAUAACUUGGAUACCCUUGUGCUGGGUUCGGCUCAUCAGCCCUGUCCUUUCAUGACAAGAGAAGGAAAAAGAAAGCAACAAAAAAGUAGCAAAACAGGCGUGGAGAGGUUAAAAAAGGCUGGGGACUUUCUCCUGGAAUCAGCUUUCAGCCCUUCUGAAAUGCAGGGGCUGACAUCUGGUCCAGCUGAGGAAUGCAGCAGCGAGAGCAAGCUGCUGGACCCGAUCACACUCACUGUGGAUAGUCAGCAGCAACGAGAACGCGGCCGAGCUAAUUGCUACAUGUUAAUAGCCAUACAAGGCAAAAAAAA
Anas platyrhynchos (mallard) is the source of this 1786-nucleotide non-coding RNA. NCBI's taxonomy places the organism in Eukaryota, Metazoa, Chordata, Aves, Anseriformes, Anatidae. The record is from RefSeq and is a predicted model, not a curated record.